Molecule: ribosomal RNA, 491 nt
Filed under: uncultured bacterium
Lineage: Bacteria
Description: partial 16S ribosomal RNA
Rfam family: Bacterial small subunit ribosomal RNA
Source: RNAcentral
AGUGAACGCUGGCGGUAGGCCUAACACAUGCAAGUCGAACGGCAGCACAGUAAGAGCUUGCUCUUACGGGUGGCGAGUGGCGGACGGGUGAGGAAUACAUCGGAAUCUACUUUUUCGUGGGGGAUAACGUAGGGAAACUUACGCUAAUACCGCAUACGACCUACGGGUGAAAGCAGGGGAUCUUCUGACCUUGCGCGAUUGAAUGAGCCGAUGUCGGAUUAGCUAGUUGGCGGGGUAAAGGCCCACCAAGGCGACGAUCCGUAGCUGGUCUGAGAGGAUGAUCAGCCACACUGGAACUGAGACACGGUCCAGACUCCUACGGGAGGCAGCAGUGGGGAAUAUUGGACAAUGGGCGCAAGCCUGAUCCAGCCAUACCGCGUGGGUGAAGAAGGCCUUCGGGUUGUAAAGCCCUUUUGUUGGGAAAGAAAAGCAGCAGGUUAAGACCCCGCUGUUCUGACGGUACCCAAAGAAUAAGCACCGGCUAACUGCGU